AAAAUUCGGGAAAUUUUCCCGAUUUUUAUUUUUUUUAUUUUUUAUUGAAUUUUCUACUGUAAUAGGGGACUUCGUCCUCAUAUUAUUUUACUCGUGUAGAUCACCCGUAAAACUAUGUAUCAAAGUAGAUUGGAUUUCAGAUUUCUUAUAAAAUCAAUAAAACUUUUCAAAAGUAAAAGUAAUACACAUCAGAAAAUACUGUUUUGAGGGAUUUGGUAAUCACAACACAUUUUGAUCAGUAAUUGCAUAAUCAAAAGGCAAUGUUUGCCUUAUUUCUACAUGUAUCUAAAAAAAAAUCAUAUCUUGUAAUUAUAUUAUCAUUGAAAUAUAAGGUCAGUAUUCAAAUAAUCAGAUUUUAGACAACAACAAAAAUUGCAUAAAAAAACAUUCAAAAAACCUGUUUACUCCAUCCAUGGCUCAAUUUAAGCUGCUCAUUUAAUCUUANUUGGUACUUAACACUGUCAACUCGGAGUAAGGUACCCUUACCAGCAUUGGUACUAAACACUGUCUACUUGGAGUGAGGGUUCCCUUGCCAGCAGGGGUGCUAAACACUGUCUACUAGGAGUAAGGGUACCCUUACCAUCAUUGGUACUAGACACUGUCUACUGGGAGUAAGGUACCCUUACCAGCAUUGGUACUAAACACUGUCUACUAGGAGUAAGGUACCCUUACCAGCAUUGGUACUAAACACUGUCUACUAGGAGUUAGAUA
This 711-nucleotide long non-coding RNA is filed under the name Mytilus galloprovincialis (Mediterranean mussel). Lineage: Eukaryota; Metazoa; Mollusca; Bivalvia; Mytilida; Mytilidae. The record is from RNAcentral.